CUGUCAGAAGAAGCACCGGCUAACUCCGUGCCAGCAGCCGCGGUAAUACGGAGGGUGCGAGUCGUUAAUCGGAAUUACUGGGCGUUAAAGCGCAUGCAGGUGGUUUGUUAAGUCAGAUGUGAAAGCCCGGGGCUCAACCUCGGAAUUGCAUUUGAAACUGGCAAACUAGAGUACUGUAGAGGGGGGUUAGAAUUUCAGGUGUAGCGGUGAAAUGCGUAGAGAUCUGAAGGAAUACCGGUGGCGAAGGCGGCCCCCCUGGACAGAUACUGACACUCAGAUGCGAAAGCGUGGGGAGCAAACAGGAUUAGAUACCCUGGUAG
RNAcentral lists this ribosomal RNA (320 nucleotides) under uncultured bacterium. RNAcentral's name for it is "bacterial SSU rRNA". It matches the Rfam family "Bacterial small subunit ribosomal RNA", at positions 478 to 793 of the family's 1533-position model. The record is from RNAcentral.